AUUGAACGCUGGCGGCAUGCCUUACACAUGCAAGUCGAACGGCAGCACGGGUGCUUGCACCUGGUGGCGAGUGGCGAACGGGUGAGUAAUACAUCGGAACAUGUCCUGUAGUGGGGGAUAGCCCGGCGAAAGCCGGAUUAAUACCGCAUACGAUCCACGGAUGAAAGCGGGGGACCUUCGGGCCUCGCGCUAUAGGGUUGGCCGAUGGCUGAUUAGCUAGUUGGUGGGGUAAAGGCCUACCAAGGCGACGAUCAGUAGCUGGUCUGAGAGGACGACCAGCCACACUGGGACUGAGACACGGCCCAGACUCCUACGGGAGGCAGCAGUGGGGAAUUUUGGACAAUGGGCGAAAGCCUGAUCCAGCAAUGCCGCGUGUGUGAAGAAGGCCUUCGGGUUGUAAAGCACUUUUGUCCGUAAAGAAAUCCUUGGCUCUAAUACAGUCGGGGGAUGACGGUACCGGAAGAAUAAGCACCGGCUAACUACGUG
RNAcentral lists this ribosomal RNA (486 nucleotides) under uncultured bacterium. Its description in RNAcentral is "partial 16S ribosomal RNA". It matches the Rfam family "Bacterial small subunit ribosomal RNA", at positions 30 to 507 of the family's 1533-position model. The record is from RNAcentral.